Eptesicus fuscus (big brown bat) is the source of this 802-nucleotide long non-coding RNA. RefSeq lists it as uncharacterized. Lineage: Eukaryota; Metazoa; Chordata; Mammalia; Chiroptera; Vespertilionidae. The transcript is spliced from 4 exons. The record is from RefSeq and is a predicted model, not a curated record.
UGGCGGCAAAAAGUCUAGCACCGGCCUUGAAAGUGACACAACUUACGUUACGGCAAAUUCAGAGGAAAAAUAAUACAAUAAAAACAUUUUUUCAGUAAAGAUUUGAUGGUAAGAAGGAAAGAGAAAUGGCUGUCCAACAUCCACUAUCACUGCAGCAAUGGGCAAAGGACACAGUGGACAGACAACCACAUAGACACGGCGGAGGGUGCGGAGGCCAUGCUGAGACAAUGAAGGACGUGUGCGCACACAGGACACCGCCUCAGGCCCAGUCUCCAGGCUGCCACGGCCUUUCCCGGCACCACAGGCCGCUGGGCUCACUCGGGAGGACGCCUGGAGGGGUGUAGUGGCUCCAGCACAGGGGGGUCCGUGGGGACCUGGACGCUGCCCCAGGCAAACAAGGCCGACAGAAGCGGGAAGGACAGACUGCGGUCGGUCAGCGGUGCUGUCCAGCAGGGGAGCGUCCUGGGUGGCCCAACUGGACGCCCAUCAUGCCGAGGUGCCUCUGCUGCCUGCCCCGUGACCAGCCCAGAAUCUGAAACCCCUGCCUCCUGGGGAAUAGCCACGCCCUCCCUCCAUCGCGUAAGAACCAGGAGUACAACGUUACUCACCCAGGAGGUGCACCUGGGUCAGAGGAAACUGGCAGAAAUUUCUGUAGAAACUUUAUUGCCCAUAAAUUGGGCGAAGAAAUAAAUUUGCCAAAAGCAUUCUGCUACCUACAGACCCAAAGGAAAAGGAAAAUUGUUUUAUGGGAGUGCAUAGUUUUUUGAAGUGAAUGGCUCUGUUCAUUAAAAUGGCCAAGUUC